UACGAAGGGGGCUAGCGUUGCUCGGAAUCACUGGGCGUAAAGGGCGCGUAGGCGGCGCCCCUAGUCAGGCGUGAAAUCCCCGGGCUCAACCCGGGGGCUGCGCUUGAUACGGGGGCGCUGGAGGGCGGGAGAGGCUCGCGGAAUUCCCAGUGUAGAGGUGAAAUUCGUAGAUAUUGGGAAGAACACCGGUGGCGAAGGCGGCGACCUGGUCCUUGACUGACGCUGAGGCGCGAAAGCGUGGGGAGCAAACAGG
This 253-nucleotide ribosomal RNA is filed under the name uncultured bacterium. RNAcentral's name for it is "partial 16S ribosomal RNA". It matches the Rfam family "Bacterial small subunit ribosomal RNA", at positions 524 to 776 of the family's 1533-position model. The record is from RNAcentral.